GACGAACGCUGGCGGCGUGCUUAACACAUGCAAGUCGAGCGGUAAGGCCCUUUCGGGGGUACACGAGCGGCGAACGGGUGAGUAACACGUGGGUGACCUGCCCUCAGCUCUGGGAUAAGCCUGGGAAACCGGGUCUAAUACUGGAUAUGACUCCAUGACGCAUGUUGUGGGGUGAAAGCCUUGUGCGGCUGAGGAUGGGCCCGCGGCCUAUCAGCUUGUUGGGUGGGG
This 228-nucleotide ribosomal RNA is filed under the name uncultured bacterium. RNAcentral describes it as "partial 16S ribosomal RNA". It matches the Rfam family "Bacterial small subunit ribosomal RNA", at positions 28 to 258 of the family's 1533-position model. The record is from RNAcentral.